UUCCGAGUGGUCCCAAGAGGCGCGGACCCCGAUCGCCUAAAAUUUUUCCGGGCAAUCAAAUACGACCUAAGGAACCAUAGUCACCGCCCGACCAUGAUCGUUCCUCAUUUAUUGCAUUUUUUCGGCCAAAAAACUAGAAUUCCGCUCGAUUACCAUAUUUUUGUGUGCUAUUGCCCAUGCCUUCCGAGUGAGCCGGGCCGCCGGACUCGGAUCGCCUAAAAACUUUUCGGGCAAUCAAUUAGGACCUAAGGAACCAUAGUCACCGCCUCGCCAUGAUCGUUCCUUAUUUUUUGCAUUUUUUGGCCAAAAAACUAGAAUUCCGCCCGAUUCCCAUAUUUUUGUGUGUCUAUCGCCCACGCCUUCCGAGUGGGUCGGGCCCCCAAGGAGCCGGAUCGCCUAAAAAAUUUUCCGGGCCAUCAAAUACGACCUAAGGAACCAUAGUAACCACCCCGCCAUGAUUGUUCCUCAUUUUUUGCAUUUUUCAGCCAAACAACUAGAAUUCCGCACGAUUCCCAUAUUUUCGUGUGCUUUAGCCCAUGCCUUCCAAGGGGUCCCGGGACCUCCUGACCCCUAUCGCCUAAAAUUUUUCCGGACUAUAAAAUAUGACCUAAGGAACCAUAGUAUCCUCCCCGCCAGGAUCGUUCCUCAUUUUUUU
RNAcentral lists this long non-coding RNA (655 nucleotides) under Nicotiana tabacum (common tobacco). RNAcentral's name for it is "long non-coding RNA (NTAB_LNC014209)". Lineage: Eukaryota; Viridiplantae; Streptophyta; Magnoliopsida; Solanales; Solanaceae. The record is from RNAcentral.